UACGUAGGGGGCAAGCGUUGUCCGGAAUCAUUGGGCGUAAAGAGCGUGUAGGCGGCCCGGUAAGUCCGCUGUGAAAGUCCAGGGCUCAACCCUGGGAUGCCGGUGGAUACUGUCGGGCUCGAGUCCGGAAGAGGAGAGUGGAAUUCCUGGUGUAGCGGUGAAAUGCGCAGAUAUCAGGAGGAACACCAAUGGCGAAGGCAGCUCGCUGGGACGUGACUGACGCUGAGACGCGAAAGCGUGGGGAGCAAACAGG
Molecule: ribosomal RNA, 253 nt
Filed under: uncultured bacterium
Lineage: Bacteria
Description: partial 16S ribosomal RNA
Rfam family: Bacterial small subunit ribosomal RNA
Source: RNAcentral